This is a long non-coding RNA of Oreochromis niloticus (Nile tilapia), 1251 nucleotides long. RefSeq lists it as uncharacterized. The record is from RefSeq and is a predicted model, not a curated record. NCBI's taxonomy places the organism in Eukaryota, Metazoa, Chordata, Actinopteri, Cichliformes, Cichlidae. The transcript is spliced from 3 exons.
GGGAGAAGCUGCGGGUCGGGUCCUCCGAAGGAAGUCUACCAGGCUGCUCAGCAGCAGAUCUCUCCCAGCGCAGAGGCUCCUCGGCUGGGUUAAAUCUCUCUGACUGAAGCCUCCCGGCAGCCUCUGGCUCUCUGCGGCAUCUCUGAGGGUGGGGGGGAACUCCAGCCGCCCCCCAGCUACGAUGCUUGGUCCGAUCCGGGGCUGCGAGCGAGCAAGCGAGCGUCUAUCUGCUCUCUGCUCCAGAGCGCCGGCUGAGACUGAGCGGACACCUGUUCACCGGAGAGCGCAUCGCAACGCACACGCUCAGCAGAGGGAGGGAGGAGUAAUGAUGUUUGAGAGGAGCACACACACACACACACAGACACACACUCUAAGAGCAGCAGUGUGUGAUGGAGGAGGGGCAGCAGUGUUUGAAAAGCCGGAGAACAAAAGGGGGAGAGGAGGGGAGGCAGCAGAGCGAGGAGGUGAGAGACGAGGUUUACUGCAGCUCACGGGAAUCAGCAGAAAAAUAAAAACGGGCGAAAUCAUCGUCAGGAAACAUGAACGUGAAACGAUCCUGCGAGCGAUCGUCAGUCAGACCCGUCAAUCCUGAGCGUCUCUGAUGACCUGCUCUCGGAAACAAGACCAGCUGAUGCGUCAGCCUCAACCACACCAACAGUUUAAAAUCCAGGUCUUAGAAUAUUUUAGAGCAGAUUAAAGAGAAUAAAAGUAAAAAUUCAAUUAACAUUUCAAUCAAACAAUAUUUCUGAGCAACACUCAGCAUUCUGCAGCGAGAGGAAUCUCUGUGUGCGAUUCCCGUGAGGGUCCUUCGCAGCGCAGCGCGGGGUUUGACUUCAGGAUGCUCCGAGGCGAGGGCGGCUCGACUGCAGCGACACGUUUCUACUCGUGUCAAAGGUCACGUGCUGGAUUUGAACCUGCGACGCUGGACUCCCAGGGGGCGCCACACUGGACCAUCUGCUCCACCUCCUCCUGUCCCAGCAGCGCUCUGCAUGUCCUUCACUACAUCCAUGAACCUCUGAGGUUUUCCACAGAAGUAAAUCUUUAAACGUGUGAACCGUCUCGCCACAGAGCGCCGCCGAGGUGACGUCACGAGCUCAAUCAGCUGAUCAGCAGAAAACAACUCCGACCAUUGGAGGGUCAAGGUGUAGGCUGCCGGGGGAUUCCCAUGAUGCACUGGGUGUUUCUUCUUCACUCACUAUGUGUUAACAGACCUCUCUGCAUUGAAUCAUACUUGUUAUUAAUCUCUGUCUC